GAGGAGGAGAUCUCUCUCUCUCUCUCUCUCUCUCUCUCUCUCUCUCUCUGAGAGAGAGAGAGAGAGAGAGGAGAGAAUAUGAAUGAA
RNAcentral lists this microRNA precursor (87 nucleotides) under Marmota monax (woodchuck). Lineage: Eukaryota; Metazoa; Chordata; Mammalia; Rodentia; Sciuridae. The record is from RNAcentral.